Molecule: long non-coding RNA, 1311 nt
Organism: Phyllopteryx taeniolatus (common seadragon)
Lineage: Eukaryota; Metazoa; Chordata; Actinopteri; Syngnathiformes; Syngnathidae
Exons: 3
Source: RefSeq, a predicted model, not a curated record
GAACCUGCACUCUGGUUGAAUGCACCCUGAGACUCAGCAGGCUCGGGUGUCUUAUUUUUUCCUCUCUUUUUGGACAAAGAAAACGAACACGCAAGGACGAUUGAAGGUUCCAUGAUCUAUUGAACAUUGACAUUUUAUUACGUCCUUAACAGAUGGUGACCCUGCGUCCGAUAAUUAAUAAUAAUAAAUUUUGGUCAUCAACUACUUGCCCUGUACUCACAAACAGAGCGCUCACAAACUAAGGUUUUGUCUGACUCACGAGAUAGAGAAAUCCUACAACAAAGGUUGGGGAAGGUUAGCCUCCAAUCACGACAGAUUGGGGAAGGUUGUCCCCUGACGACGGUUGGGGAAGAUUUACCACUAUUAAAAGCCCCGGAUGGAAAAGUAACGAGAGCCCUACAUGGGUUAAAGACUUUGGCUGCUGAAAUGGCAGAUUCAACAGGCGUUUCCAACCCCCUGGAAGAAUGGGCUACGGCAUGGUUUGGAAAAUGGAAACACCUUGUAAUUACAUUUAUAAUUGCUAUUGUUACUGCUGUUACUUUUUUAUUGCUUUUCAGAUGCUGUAUUAUUCCAUGUACGAGGACAAUGUGUGUCAAGAUGGUCUCGGGAGUGGUGGAAAAGAAUAUGAACCAGCUGGAAUCACAGAUGUUGAUGACCUCCGAAGAAGCUCCUACUCCUGAAGUUCUGCUCACACAAGACGACGUCGUGUCCAGAUGGAUGAAUUAUUGAUUAAGAAUAUACAGUGUCCUUUCUCUUAGCAUGUUACGGGACUUGUCUUUUCCCUCCUCAAAUCAAUAUAUGGGGAGGUUUUUGGCCUGUCUCAAGAGGAGUACAGCCUUAUGAAGAAUGCUUAGCUCAUGACUACAUUGUUUAUAUAUCCUCUGAUAGCCUUCCACAUAGAGUAGUAGUGCUUAGGGUCUGUUACAUAGUUCCACUAUGUAAACAGGGGAAUUGUUGGAUUGUUCUGUUUUGUACUCAUGAAGCUAUGUUCCAUUAUCGAACAAUUAAGUUCCGUUUCCAAAACAAUAGGGUAAUACAUGAUUAAGUUUUGUUAUCCAUGAGAAUAUGUAGGAGUUGAGAUUACUGAGGAAUGAUGGUUUUAGUAUGACUCCCCCAUUUCUGAUAACAUCCAAGGCCAGAGAUACCUUCUGCCAGAUAUAUCAAAACCUUCUGCUGAACAGUCAUAACGAAACCUUCUGACGUGUAUAAAAGGAGUUAGCUCAAAAAAACAAGGUGUGUCAUUAAGUGAACCUACACUCUGGUGUACAGUUGAUUCCAUUACAACAUUCUGGCAAUUUUUUUAAUUGAGUU